CUUUACUAUCAGCCCUAGCUCAGAUCAUACAUGCAAGUUUCCGCCUCCCCGUGAGAAUGCCCAAAGCCCCCCGCCCGGGGGCAAGGAGCGGGCAUCAGGCUCCCCCACCAGCCCAAGACGCCUUGCUACGCCACACCCUCAAGGGACCUCAGCAGUAGUAAACAUUAGGCCAUAAGUGAAAACUUGACCUAGUUAGUGCUAAAAGGGUCGGUAAAAUUCGUGCCAGCCACCGCGGUUAUACGAAAGACCCCAGUUGAUAGACACGGCAUAAAGGGUGGUUAGGAGUUCUUAUAAAUAAGGCUAAAGAGCCCCUAAGCCGUCGCACGCACCUCGAGAGCUCGAAGCCCCCACACGAAAGUAGCCUUAAACAUCAAACCCGACCCCACGAAAGCUAAGAAACAAACUGGGAUUAGAUACCCCACUAUGCUUAGCCCUAAACUAAGAUGCCCUCCGCCCGGGUACUACGAGCAUAGCUUAAAACCCAAAGGACUUGGCGGUGCCUCAGACCCACCUAGAGGAGCCUGUUCUAGAAUCGAUAAACCCCGUUAAACCUCACCCCUUCUUGUUUUUCCCGCCUAUAUACCGCCGUCGUCAGCUUACCCCACAAAGGCCCAACAGUAAGCAAAAUUGGUACACCCAAAAACGCCAGGUCAAGGUGUAGCGAACGAAGUGGAAAGAAAUGGGCUACAUUUUCUGCAACAGAAUAUCACGAAUGACAGCCUGAAAAAAUGCCUGAAGGUGGAUUUAGUAGUAAAAAGGAAACAGCGUGUUCUUUUGAACCAGGCUCUGAAGCGCGCACACACCGCCCGUCACUCUCCCCCACCCAAACUUAUUAUGAUUCUUAACACAACAACCACCAACACGGGGAGGCAAGUCGUAACAUGGUAAGUGUACCGGAAGGUGCACUUGGAAUAAC
This 916-nucleotide non-coding RNA is filed under the name Phreatobius sp. INPA S/N. RNAcentral's name for it is "partial 12S ribosomal RNA". It matches the Rfam family "Bacterial small subunit ribosomal RNA". The record is from RNAcentral. Lineage: Eukaryota; Metazoa; Chordata; Actinopteri; Siluriformes; Heptapteridae.